Molecule: long non-coding RNA, 1419 nt
Filed under: Triticum aestivum (bread wheat)
Lineage: Eukaryota; Viridiplantae; Streptophyta; Magnoliopsida; Poales; Poaceae
Description: long non-coding RNA (TAES_LNC004429)
Source: RNAcentral
GAGAAAUAUGCACUGUGUCUAUCAGUUUCCUAUUGUUCAUAUUUAUAUUACAAAUAUUAGCAUGUCUUCCAAGUAUCUACAAAUAAGGUGCAUAACCAACCCAUUGAAAAUGAUUAAACAUUCAUUAUGGACUCAAGUUUGGAAAGAAAACAAAAAAAUUGCUGAUAAACAACUCCAUGUUUUUACAUAAAUUCCUAGCACUUCAUACUAUAGUAAAAAAAAAGGACGGGUGCGGCAACACGUGCCAGCAAUGAUCUAGUAGAAGAAAUAUAUCACAUCCAACAAGGAGUCUCACCCGUCACGCAGCAACCCACAAGUCAGUUCAGCACGCCGGCAAGGAAGAGGAGGUCUGAUGGGCAGCCACCAUGGAUGGGAGAGCCCGCGGCUGCCGUAGUGCCGUGCAGGGCAGGGCUAGAGCAAGGGAUGGUAGCAGUUAUCUCCAUUUACACAGCAGCGUGUCCUAAAAUGGGAGUGCCCCUCUCCCCCUCUUCUCUUCUUCCUCGACCUCCGACGCUCGCUCACGAGUUGGGCUUCACAGUGGCAAUGGAUCUGUUAGAAGCAUGCACGGUAAAGGAGAUUAGCAAGCACAGAAAGAAUGAGUAGGGCUCACGGAAAAAAGCAGAAGGAGGUGAGCCGACACCCGGCAGUAACGGACCUCCACCAUGAUCGAUAGGAAGGAAGAACGUGGGGCGGCGCCGCCGUGUCGUCGCUGCCUCUUCGGAUCACCCGGGUACUGGGGGGACAGCGACCUCGACCGAGCGUUAGAUGGGCUAGCCCAUGCAGAGGGGCAGUAACAGGCUCCUUGUAGCAGACCCAAUCAACGAGGUGCCUGCGUUUUUGCUACGGGAGUAGUAGCCCAGCCGAGUGUGCAGGGUUGUGCGGGAUUAGAAACCUACAUCUGACGGCCAGCAGAGUCCAUAGGCAAGAUCGAACGGCCAGAAAUCAUGAAUGCGUGAGAGGCUUCCUAGAGUGCACAGUUAUAAUGUCUUUAAAUGCAAAGGCAUGAGAUUGAGUACAUGAGUGUUGUUUGCAGAUAUUGUUAAAGUUUGACUGCUCAAAUAUAUGAAUCUUUUGUACGGUGGAAGUUGCAUGUGUUGAAUUAUUGGCGUCUUCUUAUAUUUUUAUCAAUAUUGCAAUAUAGAAAAAAGUACUUGCCUAGUCAUACAUGAUUGAGAAGAACGGACGAAUACAGAAAACAUAGUCAUGUAUUGUAUGCCCCCAUACCUUACAUGAUUGACGAUCUGGCCAUCGACUGGUGCUAGAAGAUCUCCCACUCUUAGAGCCUGCCAAGGCUCUGCUUGUGGCUCUCAAAGACCUCAAAUAGCUCUGGCUGGUAUUCGCCACCUUGCUCAUCGUUGCCGAAGUCAACGACAUCGUCUCUCGAAGCAUGUGGUUCAAGCGUGUCAAUUUACAACAUCC